This 459-nucleotide ribosomal RNA is filed under the name uncultured bacterium. RNAcentral describes it as "partial 16S ribosomal RNA". It matches the Rfam family "Bacterial small subunit ribosomal RNA", at positions 338 to 795 of the family's 1533-position model. The record is from RNAcentral.
CCUACGGGAGGCAGCAGUGAGGAAUAUUGGUCAAUGGGGGAGACCCUGAACCAGCCAAGCCGCGUGCAGGAAGACGGCCCUAUGGGUUGUAAACUUCUUUUGUCGGAGGACAAAAUCCGUGACGUGUCCCGUACUGCGGGUACCCCAAGAAAAAGCACCGGCUAAUUCCGUGCCAGCAGCCGCGGUAAUACGGAGGGUGCGGGCGUUAUCCGGAUUUAUUGGGUUUAAGGGGUGCGUAGGCGGCCCGUUAAGCGUGUGGUAAAAUGGCGGGGCUCAACCCCGGCGCGCCGUUGAAACUGGCAGGCUUGAGUGGGCGGGAGGUACGCGGAAUGCGCGGUGUAGCGGUGAAAUGCAUAGAUAUCGCGCAGAACUCCGAUUGCGAAGGCAGCGUACCGGCGCCAGACUGACGCUGAGGCACGAAGGCGUGGGGAUCGAACAGGAUUAGAUACCCCGGUAGUC